GGAGAGAUGGCAGAGCUUGGUUGAAUGCGCCUGACUCGAAAUCAGGUAGGCUAUUUUUAUAGUCUCGGGGGUUCGAAUCCCCCUCUCUCCG
RNAcentral lists this transfer RNA (91 nucleotides) under Garciella nitratireducens. Its description in RNAcentral is "tRNA-Ser". It matches the Rfam family "tRNA". Rfam says of the family: Transfer RNA (tRNA) molecules are approximately 80 nucleotides in length. Their secondary structure includes four short double-helical elements and three loops (D, anti-codon, and T loops). Lineage: Bacteria; Bacillati; Bacillota; Clostridia; Eubacteriales; Eubacteriaceae. RNAcentral also lists the same sequence under 1 other name. The record is from RNAcentral.